AAAGCCCACUGAGAGCUCACGCUGUGACACAGCUGGAAAAACAUGUUCCCAGCCUGCACGCAGAAGCAAAGAGACAAUGGUGGCCCCGGAUGCCUACCAGUAGUUACGCUGUAACAGUGUCAAAGGUUAAGGCAGAUUUUCUGCAGAUCAUGUAAAGAACUGUACUACAGUUACUAGAGGGUGACAGUAAGUAAUUCAGUAGGAGAAAAAAACCACCUGCUCCAUCUGUCAACUGAGGACUGCAUACAAAGAAGCCUGAGAAAACUUCCCAACAAGAAAAUACAGAAUUAAACAAUGGACCAAAAAAGCAGUAAGGAUGGGAGACAUCCAAUACAAAACAGACACACACACCCCCUCUCUCACAUGUAGGCCCCUGAAAGUGGGAUCACAGUGAUAAAAGUUAGAGAUCAUAGAGCGGUAAGUUACACUGUCACUAAAAAGAAAGUAACGUCUUGCUUACAGGAAAUAUCUGGUAUUCCCCAGGACUGUUAGUGCCUGAACAAAGAUGAGGUUUUUCAUUGUGCUCUGCAACACAGCUGAUUGUAGGUCUUAAGCUUGGCUGUAAGGAAGAACUGUUACAUAGAGGAGUUACCUUUUCCGUUGACAUUUUUUACCCCAUGUAUUCUUGUCAUACUGCUAUAGCAGUAAAAAACGCAACUUGUUGAAAAAAAGCUCUACAUUCAAGUGACUUAUUCUCCUGUGU
Molecule: long non-coding RNA, 703 nt
Filed under: Gallus gallus (chicken)
Lineage: Eukaryota; Metazoa; Chordata; Aves; Galliformes; Phasianidae
Description: long non-coding RNA NONGGAT006762
Source: RNAcentral